GAUGAACGCUGGCGGCGUGCCUAAUACAUGCAAGUCGAGCGAACGGACGAGAAGCUUGCUUCUCUGAUGUUAGCGGCGGACGGGUGAGUAACACGUGGAUAACCUACCUAUAAGACUGGGAUAACUUCGGGAAACCGUAGCUAAUACCGGAUAAUAUUUUGAACCGCAUGGUUCAAAAAUGAAAGACGGUCUUGCUGUCACUUAUAGAUGGAUCCGCGCUGCAUUAGCUAGUUGGUAAGGUAACGGCUUACCAAGGCAACGAUGCAUAGCCGACCUGAGAGGGUGAUCGGCCACACUGGAACUGAGACACGGUCCAGACUCCUACGGGAGGCAGCAGUAGGGAAUCUUCCGCAAUGGGCGAAAGCCUGACGGAGCAACGCCGCGUGAGUGAUGAAGGUCUUCGGAUCGUAAAACUCUGUUAUUAGGGAAGAACAUAUGUGCAAGUAACUGUGCACAUCUUGACGGUACCUAAUCAGAAAGCCACGGCUAACUACGUG
RNAcentral lists this ribosomal RNA (497 nucleotides) under uncultured bacterium. RNAcentral's name for it is "partial 16S ribosomal RNA". It matches the Rfam family "Bacterial small subunit ribosomal RNA", at positions 28 to 507 of the family's 1533-position model. The record is from RNAcentral.